ACCUGAGCGGGGGGCUAUACUGCAAGUCGAGCGGACAGAUGGAGAGCUUGCUCCCUGAUGUUAGCGGCGGACGGGUGAGUAACACGUGGGUAACCUGCCUGUAAGACUGGGAUAACUCCGGGAAACCGGGGCUAAUACCGGAUGGUUGUUUGAACCGCAUGGUUCAAACAUAAAAGGUGGCUUCGGCUACCACUUACAGAUGGACCCGCGGCGCAUUAGCUAGUUGGUGAGGUAACGGCUCACCAAGGCAACGAUGCGUAGCCGACCUGAGAGGGUGAUCGGCCACACUGGGACUGAGACACGGCCCAGACUCCUACGGGAGGCAGCAGUAGGGAAUCUUCCGCAAUGGACGAAAGUCUGACGGAGCAACGCCGCGUGAGUGAUGAAGGUUUUCGGAUCGUAAAGCUCUGUUGUUAGGGAAGAACAAGUACCGUUCGAAUAGGGCGGUACCUUGACGGUACCUAACCAGAAAGCCACGGCUAACUACGUGCCAGCAGCCGCGGUAAUACGUAGGUGGCAAGCGUUGUCCGGAAUUAUUGGGCGUAAAGGGCUCGCAGGCGGUUUCUUAAGUCUGAUGUGAAAGCCCCCGGCUCAACCGGGGAGGGUCAUUGGAAACUGGGGAACUUGAGUGCAGAAGAGGAGAGUGGAAUUCCACGUGUAGCGGUGAAAUGCGUAGAGAUGUGGAGGAACACCAGUGGCGAAGGCGACUCUCUGGUCUGUAACUGACGCUGAGGAGCGAUAGCGUGCGGAGCGAACAGGAUUAGAUACUCUGGUAGUCCACGCCGUAAACGAUGAGUGCUAAGUGUUAGGGGGUUUCCGCCCCUUACUGCUGCAGCUAACGCAUUAAGCACUCCGCCUGGGGAGUACGGUCGCAAGACUGAAACUCAAAGGAAUUGACGGGGGCCCGCACAAACG
RNAcentral lists this ribosomal RNA (915 nucleotides) under Bacillus sp. (in: firmicutes). RNAcentral describes it as "bacterial SSU rRNA". It matches the Rfam family "Bacterial small subunit ribosomal RNA", at positions 33 to 931 of the family's 1533-position model. Lineage: Bacteria; Bacillati; Bacillota; Bacilli; Caryophanales; Bacillaceae. The record is from RNAcentral.